UACGUAGGAGGCGAGCGUUGUCCGGAGUUAUUGGGCGUAAAGGGCUCGUAGGCGGUUUGUCGCGUCGGGAGUGAAAACGCCGGGCUUAACUCGGUGCUUGCUUUCGAUACGGGCAGACUAGAGGCAUGCAGGGGAGAACGGAAUUCCUGGUGUAGCGGUGAAAUGCGCAGAUAUCAGGAGGAACACCGGUGGCGAAGGCGGUUCUCUGGGCAUGUCCUGACACUGAGGAGCGAAAGUGUGGGGAGCGAACAGG
RNAcentral lists this ribosomal RNA (253 nucleotides) under uncultured bacterium. RNAcentral describes it as "partial 16S ribosomal RNA". It matches the Rfam family "Bacterial small subunit ribosomal RNA", at positions 524 to 776 of the family's 1533-position model. The record is from RNAcentral.